UGCGUAGGCGGAAUAUUAAGUCAGUGGUGAAAUCCUGCGGCUCAACCGUAGAACUGCCAUUGAUACUGAUAUUCUUGAAUGUAGUUGAGGUAGGCGGAAUGUGUAAUGUAGCGGUGAAAUGCUUAGAUAUUACACAGAACACCGAUUGCGAAGGCAGCUUACUAAACUAUGAUUGACGCUGAGGCACGAAAGCGUGGGGAGCGAACAGGAUUAGAUAUCCUGGUAGUCC
This 229-nucleotide ribosomal RNA is filed under the name uncultured bacterium. RNAcentral describes it as "partial 16S ribosomal RNA". It matches the Rfam family "Bacterial small subunit ribosomal RNA", at positions 568 to 796 of the family's 1533-position model. The record is from RNAcentral.